RNAcentral lists this long non-coding RNA (871 nucleotides) under Homo sapiens (human). Its description in RNAcentral is "HSALNT0294863". Lineage: Eukaryota; Metazoa; Chordata; Mammalia; Primates; Hominidae. The record is from RNAcentral.
ACGAAUCCGCGCUCCCCCAGGCUGUCGCGCGAGCUCCCCGGAAGCUCCCACCUGAGCGGCGCAUCCUCAGGGCCUGGGCCUGGCCUCCUUGCCUGUGAGAUGGCACUGUGACGGUGCCCACCUCGUGGGGUGUGUGAGGGCCGAGUGAAAUCGUGCAUUUGCGACCGAAUUCCUCCUGGUCUUACAGAUGACCAAGUCGGCCCACUGCACCACCACGAUACUGACGAAGAAGGCUGUGUGGCAGGUGAACUCCACGAUUUUCCUCUGCUCAUAGGUCUGAAAUGCAGAAGACAGAAGAUGAGCUCUGGCUCUUCACCUGCAUGGCUGGUGGCAGUGUGGCCUCAGUCUUCUGGGGCUUGAGGAGCUCUGACACUGGUCAGGUCAGAGGUGCCCACUCACCCACUGCUGCCCGUAGCUGUCUUCCACAUCGUUGAUCCAGCGGUCAUCCCAGUCCACUCGGAGGCCCAACAGGUGAAUUGGGAGGAAGCCGUUCUCAGCCAGAAUCACAAAGUGAAGUAUACAAAAAUAAAGAUUCCCAUCUGAUAAACAAAUGUUAACUGCUGCCUUGAAGAGUGGUAAUACUGAUUCUGUGAAGCCGGGAUUGGGACACACACUGGAUACUGGUCCUGAGAAUUUCUUUUCCCAACGCCAGCCUCAUGGAUGCUGGGAGCAUAGUGCCAGUGAAUGAAGACACAGCUCACACCUCACUACUAUCGAUCUGUGACUGUUGUGACACUCACCAUGUCAGUGCCCAAGUCAAUGCAGAGGAUGGUGACAGUCCCCAGUGGUAGUGGAAUGUUUGCAAUAAUAAAUAUCAGGAACGGGGUGAUCUCGGGAAUGUUACUGGUUAAGGUAUAAGCAAUGGAUUUCU